CACGUAGGGUGCGAGCGUUGUCCGGAAUUAUUGGGCGUAAAGAGCUCGUAGGCGGUGUGUCGCGUCGGCCGUGAAAACCUGCAGCUUAACUGUGGGCUUGCGGUCGAUACGGGCAUCACUGGAGUUCGGCAGGGGAGACUGGAAUUCCUGGUGUAGCGGUGAAAUGCGCAGAUAUCAGGAGGAACACCGGUGGCGAAGGCGGGUCUCUGGACCGAUACUGACGCUGAGGAGCGAAAGCGUGGGGAGCGAACCGG
Molecule: ribosomal RNA, 254 nt
Filed under: uncultured bacterium
Lineage: Bacteria
Description: partial 16S ribosomal RNA
Rfam family: Bacterial small subunit ribosomal RNA
Source: RNAcentral